Non-coding RNA from Vicugna pacos (alpaca), 1046 nucleotides. NCBI's taxonomy places the organism in Eukaryota, Metazoa, Chordata, Mammalia, Artiodactyla, Camelidae. The record is from RefSeq and is a predicted model, not a curated record.
GUGAGGGUGGCGGGGACGGCGUGAGCAAGCACCCCCGGUUGCGUGCGUGUGACCGUGCAGGGCGUGGAUGAUUGGGGCGGUGUGUGAGGAGGGGCACGUGUGUGGUGUGCUGGGAGUGAGUGGAAGCAUGCAUGUGUGUGCAUGUGUGUGCAUGGAAGCAAGUGUGUCCGUGUGGGUGUGCUCGGAGAGCCACGCACGGCAGGGACGCCGGGCGUGUGCAGGGAUGUGCGGGCCGCGCUGUGAUGCCGGGCAGCGCGCCCACCUGGGCUGAGCGCUUGCUGUGGACCAGGCGAGGCACCAGGCGCUAACGGGAGCUAUCCCCAGCCUGCAGCUACGGGCCGAGGACAGCCACCGGCCAGGAAACAGCAUGUGGAUCCCCUCUGGUCCCCUGACCACACAGACCACUACGGGAAGAAAAUGAGGACACCGCCAUUGGAUUUAGAGCCCAGGUAAGCCAGGAUGACCUCACCUUGAGGUUCCCACCUUAAUUCCAUCUGCAAAGGCCCUUACUCCAAAUCAAGAUCCCAUUCUGACCGUCGGGGUGGGCACAUGUUUUGGGGGCCUCUACUCAGCUCUCUGGGGGGACACUGAGGUACAGUGAGUAAUGAACCAGAAAAUCCUGGCAGCUACACGUGUCAGAAGUGUAGCCUUGUGAGCGCGAAUCGAUCUGCAGGAAUUUAUCCCAAGGGGGGAAAUCACACACCCGUGCAACAAGGAUUUAUGGAAACCGGAUCAUCACAGUCAGGUAUCUGUGUCUGCACACACCACUGCUUCACACAAUACAUAGGCAACGCAGAAGAGUGAGGAACUGGGGGAACCUGAGCUGUCCUAAGCCAGGUGGACCCCCCACGAAACGCAGCACAGUGCCGCGGCAAGGCGAGGAGGCCGGCCUUGGGCCCGUGGCCAGGCAGGGUGCCACGUGGCGGAGCUGCCGGCGGGACAGGGUGCGUGGUGCGGAUCCGUGAAAAUGCUCUAUUUAAAUGUGCAGAAAAGGGGUUUUUGAAGGAUGUCUGACAAAAAGUUCAGAGAGGUUACCUCUUGACAGU